RNAcentral lists this ribosomal RNA (414 nucleotides) under uncultured microorganism. RNAcentral's name for it is "bacterial SSU rRNA". It matches the Rfam family "Archaeal small subunit ribosomal RNA", at positions 459 to 872 of the family's 1478-position model. The record is from RNAcentral.
CAGCCGCCGCGGUAAUACCGGCGGCCCGAGUGGCGGUCACUAUUAUUGGGCUUAAAGCGUCCGUAGCCGGGUUGGGAAGUCCUCCGGGAAAUCUGGCCGCUUAACGGUCAGAAAGCCGGAGGAUACUCCCAGCCUAGGGAGCGGGGGAGGCCGAGGGGAUUCCCGGGGUAGGGGGGAAAUCCUAUAAUCCCGGGAGGACCACCUGUGGCGAAGGCGCUCGGCUGGAACGCGUCCGACGGUGAGGGACGAAGGCCAGGGGAGCAAACCGGAUUAGAUACCCGGGUAGUCCUGGCUGUAAACGAUGCGGACUUUGUGUCGGACAAGCUAUGAGCUUGUCCGGUGCCGGAGGGAAACCGUUAAGUCCGCCGCCUGGGGAGUACGGCCGCAAGGCUGAAACUUAAAGGAAUUGGCGGG